This is a non-coding RNA of Sus scrofa (pig), 1067 nucleotides long. The record is from RefSeq and is a predicted model, not a curated record. Lineage: Eukaryota; Metazoa; Chordata; Mammalia; Artiodactyla; Suidae.
CCCUAUUUGUGCAAAUCUCGCCAAUCCUUUAAGUCUCAAAUCAAAUCCCACUUCCUCAUUCAAGAUUUUCCUGAGUCUUCUAGCUUUGAAAUUCACCUUUCCUCCUCUGAUGCUGUUGUGUUCCGUUGCAAUUCAUAAUUUACUUCCUCUUCAUGUGGUCAUGUUUUAUCUUCCCAACUAGAAAGGCAACUUCUUAAAGGUGAAAGCCAACUCAGCAACGUCUCUUUAAGGAGAUAAUAUGAAGAGGCAUCAGCUUUUGUUCUGAUACCAUCAACAAUGAUCCAGAUGAAAAGGAAUGUGGUUCAACCUCCAUAUUUCUCAUAAAGAGAAAACUGAGGUCCAGAGAAGUGAAAUGGCUUAUCCAGAGGCAGUCAGGAGCCUUGUUUGCUGCAUGUGUGCCAGAACCUCGGAGCAGGAAACAUGCCAUCAGAAUGAAUGUGUCUGCCUGGCAAAGGCAGGGCAGAGCGGAAUCGAUUACAGAGAGGAAGGCGGGCAGUUGAAUGGGAUGCUGCCUAAAGAGAACCCAGCAGAUCCGUUCACUCUGCGAGCCAGUCUUGACCUUCUGCGCCUUAGGACCAUCUCCCUAGGACCACCAGCAUGAAGUUCAUGUGUCAAGAAGAAGUCGUCUGUGUUCUCCAAAAGCAACUUCAUGACCAGUUUUGAAAUAAUUCAAAACAUUUGCUCUCUUCAGAUCAGCUUCCUUCAAGCCAAUGUUUAUUUAAUUCAUAUGUCUGAAGUUUUCUGGCUCUUGAAAGUCAACAUUCUUGGUCUCCUCCCCUGUCCCAGCAUGUUUAAGUUGAGAUGGUGUUCUUUCUUGUUUCCUUAAGAGCUCUUGCCAAGUCACUGGGCAUGUCUCUCUUGUUCAUCUUCUGAAAAUCUUCAAUAAAUACAUGUCCUGAUUCUCCCAAUUUGUCAAAAAUAAAAACUUCCUUUCAUUACAUGCAUAUUGAAUUAUUUUCAUUCACAGAGGUAUCUUAUAUCGGUGCCUUACCAAUGACUGGAAAGACCAGGCUUCACAGACCUUCAACAAUGUCUUCCAUCCUUCUUCAACCCUCAGUGCCACAUCA